Molecule: ribosomal RNA, 514 nt
Filed under: Sticta sp.
Lineage: Eukaryota; Fungi; Ascomycota; Lecanoromycetes; Peltigerales; Lobariaceae
Description: partial large subunit ribosomal RNA
Rfam family: Eukaryotic large subunit ribosomal RNA
Source: RNAcentral
GGCGAGUGAAGCGGCAACAGCUCAAAUUUGAAAUCUGGCCUCUUCGGGGUCCGAGUUGUAAUUUGUAGAGGGUGUUUCGGGCGCGAUGCCGGUCUAAGUUCCUUGGAACAGGACGUCGCAGAGGGUGAGAAUCCCGUACGCGACCGGCGAUCAAGCCUGUGUGAAGCCCCUUCGACGAGUCGAGUUGUUUGGGAAUGCAGCUCAAAAUGGGUGGUAAAUUUCAUCUAAAGCUAAAUAUUGGCCAGAGACCGAUAGCGGACAAGUAGAGUGAUCGAAAGAUGAAAAGCACUUUGGAAAGAGAGUCAAACAGUACGUGAAAUUGUUGAAAGGGAAGCGCUUGCAAUCAGACCGGUCCGGAGGCGAUCAGCCGCUGCUCGUUCAGCGGUGCACUCGCCUGCGAUCCGGCCAGCAUCGGUUUGGGCGGUGGGAUAAAAGUCCCGGGAAUGUAGCUUCUCUCGGGGAGUCUUAUAGCCCGGGUCGCAAUGCCGCCUGCCCGGACCGAGGACCGCGCUUC